UUUUUUUUAUCACUCCUUUUAUAUUACGGAAGCAUAGAAAAUUCAUAGGGAAGACGAAAGUUCAUGUGGGCUGGCCAUUAGCCCAUUUUGACUGCACAGUAAUCUCUUAGGCAGAUAUUAAGUGUGGAAGCUUGCGCUGGGAUUGUAGCGUUAAUGGAACCCCAAUUGAAAUAGUGACAGUCUAGUUUUCGUCUCAGCUGAUAGGCCCCAGCCUUUCAUCCAGAUUCUAAUGGACUUUGAUUAUGUUUGUUCCCAACUUUGUUCUAAGAUAAUGAAAAAGAAAGGAGACAGAGAGAGGUAAUCAAUUGAUCAAGCAAGUGAAAUGAAGAAAGUGAAAGAGUAGAACAAAUACAACUUAUUUUAAGAGCAAACUAAGCUCACAAUGGCUUCUCUACCUUAUUCAUACAAGUUUAAUUUGUGUCUCUAGAUGAGACUUCAGUGUCUAGAACUUGCAAAUAUUUUUAGAAAGGCAUAGGCUUUGGAGGCAUGGGUUCUGUGCACAUCUUCCAUUGCUCAAAAGUUCCAUUCACAAAAUCAUAAUAACCUCCCCUCAAUGUCAGAGUUCCACUCAC
Molecule: long non-coding RNA, 572 nt
Filed under: Theobroma cacao (cacao)
Lineage: Eukaryota; Viridiplantae; Streptophyta; Magnoliopsida; Malvales; Malvaceae
Description: long non-coding RNA (TCAC_LNC001495)
Source: RNAcentral